AAGUCUAUAACGACUCUCGGCAACGGAUAUCUCGGCUCUCGCAUCGAUGAAGAACGUAGCGAAAUGCGAUACUUGGUGUGAAUUGCAGAAUCCCGUGAACCAUCGAGUCUUUGAACGCAAGUUGCGCCCCAAGCCUUCUGGCUGAGGGCACGUCUGCCUGGGUGUCACA
This 169-nucleotide ribosomal RNA is filed under the name Leavenworthia crassa. RNAcentral describes it as "5.8S ribosomal RNA". It matches the Rfam family "5.8S ribosomal RNA". Rfam says of the family: 5.8S ribosomal RNA (5.8S rRNA) is a component of the large subunit of the eukaryotic ribosome. It is transcribed by RNA polymerase I as part of the 45S precursor that also contains 18S and 28S rRNA. The record is from RNAcentral. Lineage: Eukaryota; Viridiplantae; Streptophyta; Magnoliopsida; Brassicales; Brassicaceae.